CAAGGAAUAGUUUAAUCUUAGAACUCUGGCUUUGGGAGCCAGGGGUGGGAGUUAAAAUCUCUUUUCCUUGA
RNAcentral lists this transfer RNA (71 nucleotides) under Cottus reinii. RNAcentral's name for it is "tRNA-Pro". It matches the Rfam family "tRNA". From Rfam's summary of the family: Transfer RNA (tRNA) molecules are approximately 80 nucleotides in length. Their secondary structure includes four short double-helical elements and three loops (D, anti-codon, and T loops). Lineage: Eukaryota; Metazoa; Chordata; Actinopteri; Perciformes; Cottidae. The record is from RNAcentral.